This 294-nucleotide ribosomal RNA is filed under the name Escherichia coli. RNAcentral's name for it is "partial 23S ribosomal RNA". It matches the Rfam family "Bacterial large subunit ribosomal RNA", at positions 1085 to 1378 of the family's 2925-position model. The record is from RNAcentral. Lineage: Bacteria; Pseudomonadati; Pseudomonadota; Gammaproteobacteria; Enterobacterales; Enterobacteriaceae.
CCAGACAGCCAGGAUGUUGGCUUAGAAGCAGCCAUCAUUUAAAGAAAGCGUAAUAGCUCACUGGUCGAGUCGGCCUGCGCGGAAGAUGUAACGGGGCUAAACCAUGCACCGAAGCUGCGGCAGCGACACUAAGUGUUGUUGGGUAGGGGAGCGUUCUGUAAGCCUGUGAAGGUGUACUGUGAGGUAUGCUGGAGGUAUCAGAAGUGCGAAUGCUGACAUAAGUAACGAUAAAGCGGGUGAAAAGCCCGCUCGCCGGAAGACCAAGGGUUCCUGUCCAACGUUAAUCGGGGCAGG